This 82-nucleotide transfer RNA is filed under the name Canis lupus familiaris (dog). It matches the Rfam family "tRNA". Rfam says of the family: Transfer RNA (tRNA) molecules are approximately 80 nucleotides in length. Their secondary structure includes four short double-helical elements and three loops (D, anti-codon, and T loops). RNAcentral also lists the same sequence under 1 other name. Lineage: Eukaryota; Metazoa; Chordata; Mammalia; Carnivora; Canidae. The record is from Rfam by way of RNAcentral.
GCCUGGUUGGCUCAGUGGUUGUGUGUCUGACUUCUGCUCAGGGAGUGAUCCCAAGUCUGGGGAUCGAGUCCCCAGUCAGGCU